This 7679-nucleotide long non-coding RNA is filed under the name Lactuca sativa (garden lettuce). RNAcentral's name for it is "long non-coding RNA (LSAT_LNC001433)". The record is from RNAcentral. Lineage: Eukaryota; Viridiplantae; Streptophyta; Magnoliopsida; Asterales; Asteraceae.
AUUUAGAAUUAAUUAAGUGGUCAAAAGAGAACUAAUUAAAUAUAUGGGUUGAUUAUGUAAAUCAUCCAUAUCUUGUAUAGUGGGCUAAGAGGCUCCAUGGAUUAUCAAGUUGGGUUCUACCCAUAGGAUGCUCCAUGGAUGCUCCAUGGGAGUUACAAACCCAUGGGUCAUGGAAAUGAAGAGUCAUGACACAUUAGGGUUUACAUGGUGUAACCCUAGAUGUGUCAACACUAUAUAAGAAUCAUAUUCUCCACCAAAAUCGGCUAGACUAAGAAACUAGAGGGCUUGGCCGAUUUUAAGAAGUGUGUAUUCUCUCAUAAGUUUUUCCAAGAGCAUUUGGUGUUGUGUGAAGCAUUUGAGGCAUCACACUUGGGGUGCUAGGCUCACAAGGUUUCAAGGAACACAAGCAACAACAAGGUAAGUUAUUCUAUCUAUUAUUCAAGUUAAAAUUGUUCCCCAUGUAUGCUAGAUAGGAAUAUAACCUUGGAAUUCAACUUUGCAUGAUAAUUAGACAAACAUAGAUCCAAGGUUAUUAGGGUUGCAUGUACACUUAGGAAGUGUUAGAAUGCUCAAAACCCAUCAGUGGUAUCAGAGCCUAGGCUUGUUUGUUUGUUAUUUGUGCUUAAAAGUUGAAGAAAGUCGAAAAUCUUGCUGUCUGACUGAUGGACUCGGCGAGUCCAUGGGGAGGACUCGUCGAGUUCACGUGUAUCUUCAACCUACUCGGCGAGUAGGUUUAUGCACUCGGCGAGUAGGGUCGACAGAGUGCAGAAUUUCGACUUGUGUUGCUGGAAAUGGAUUAGAAUCAUUACCCUAAAAUGUUUUGGUACUUGAAAACUUAUUUUAGAAGGUGUAAUGUCUUUUCUAACUCAUUUACAACAACUAGUUAUCAAAAUUACAAAGAUUAAAUGUGAUUUUGAUUCUUGAAAGUGUUCAUAUUCAUAUUCUUGUUCUUAUGAUGUUUAGAUGAUCAUAGGAAUUAUUUGUAACCUAUGUGGUAGAUUAAUUCAUGAUCAUAAUGUGUUUUAAUGGAGUCCAUAACUUGUCCUCAAGUUAUGGAAAACCAAAAGUCUCUUGGAUUAAAAACCAUUAAAAGAACACAAGAGUUAGGAAAAAUGAAAAGUCCUCAUUUUAUUACUCUAUUAAACUCAUAAGUUACAAGAAAUGAAAAGUUUUGAAAGUUUACAAAACUUGCCCUCAAGUUUUGGAACAAGUAAAGUUAAGUUAAAACUUUAGUUCCAACCCCUAGAAUUUUAAAAGUUAAAAUUCAACCCUUAUACUUAUAUUAUUAUGAUUUAAUAAUUAUAUAUAUAUGUAUAAGAACAAAGUCGUCUUACCGCUAGUACGCCUCAUUCACGAAGCCGGUCUAUAAGGUGGGUAUAAGGUUGUUGCCUAUAAAAUGGUGACUUAAUGGGUGUCCACUCUCACCCACCGCUUGCUUGAUCGGUGGAGGGUCGUUAGCCGAACGGGUAAGACAAGGACUUAUUAAUUCUCAUUCAAAGUAUGAUGAAUAUUAUAAAGUAACUAAAUGUUUUAUUAAAUUCCCAAUCUUAGUUACUUUAGGAAAAAUGUGAAUAAGGUGCUAUUCCAUGAAAUUACACUUUACACUUUGAUUAAGUCGUUGGUGGAGCGUGUGUGGUUAACCGGCACACUAACUUGGACUUAACAAGGUAGGUAAAGGGUGACUUAGGGUUUAUUAUAGUAUCGAUGGAGCGUGUGUGGUUAACCGGCACAUCGAUUGAGUGAUAAACUUUAAGGGUACCAAGUGAUUUGCAUGGUUACUUCACACCUCGUUUUGUGAUCCUCGGUAUCCCAGUCACAAAACUUGGAGGGCACACUCGAGAUUGAAACAUGCCUUUGAAAAGUUCAUUGAAUCUCAAAGAAUCUAGGAAUUUCUAAGAACCAUUCAAAAACCUAAUACUAAAAUAUUGCGGUUUUCGUGGUGGAAAUUGGUGAAUCGUCAUUCACCUACCUUUCAAAUAUGAUAUAGCUUAGAUUACGGCAUACCUCUUCUAAGUUAUAUUAUAUUGUGAUUGGAUCCUAGCCUUAAUAUUACAUUUGGGUGUUUUAUUAAGGACUCUCUUAUAUCUAAACUAAUCUUGUCCUCUUUCCUUCAGAUGUCUUUCAACAAUGCUUCUGGCUCUAAUCCUAAUGGCUCCUUUACCCUUAUGAACUUGUGUGGGAAAGUCACCUUUGAUGGAUCCAACUUCAAUGAGUGGAUCAGAAACAUCAGGAUGAUUACCCGCUACGAGGACAAAGAAUAUGUCCUUGACAAGGAGCUUAAGGAGAUUGAUGAGUCCACUGCAACUCCUCAGGAGAUCGCUGAAUUUCGGGCACAUGAAAGGGAUGCUACGAAAGUGGCUUGCAUCAUGAUGGCCACGAUGACAGCGGAACUCCAAAAGUCUUAUGAGGAUUUCUACCCUUAUGAAAUGCACCAAGAUUUGAUGGAAAGAUACCAUCAAAGUGCAAGACAAGAGAGGUAUGAAAUCAUCUGCUCCAUGAUAACAACCAUGAUGAAGGACGGGGAAUCCGUCACGAGCCACAUGCAGAAAAUGCAAAGGUAUGUGGAUCGUUUGCUGAAGCUUAAUGUGAACUUCCCGGAGGAUCUUGCAAUAGAUAUUAUUUUGCAUUCCUUACCAUCGUGCUAUGAUCAAUUCCGCAUGACAUAUCACAUGAACAAGGAAGAAGUCACCCUCAGCAAACUUCAGGGACUUCUCAAGACCGCAGAAUCAGGUCUUAAGGGGAAGUCGGUUGCUAUCACUCCUACUCAAAACUCUACUCCGGUUUUGGCAAUCGGGAAAAGUCGAGGGAGGAAGAGAAAGAGCUCUUCUAAGGGUACCAAGGUUCGGACCCUUGAUGGCUCUUCUUCAAGUGGAACCAAGAAAGGUUUCAUUACUCCUUCUUCUGACCCAAAAGAGGCUGAAUGCUUCUAUUGCCAUGAAAAAGCUCAUUGGAAGCGGAACUGCCCAAAAUACCAGCAAGAUGUGAAGGAUGGGAAAGUUAAACCCAACCAUGCAGGUAUUUACACUAUCAUUUCUAAUAACUCACCCCAUUCUAAUUCUUGGGUCCUUGAUACCGGGUGUGGUAUUCACAUUUGUUGUGACUUGCAGGGACUAAGAAGAAGUGAGGAUGUGGAGCAAGGAAGGAUAAACUUGAUCAUGGGGAAUAGGAAAGCUAUACCUGUUACCAAGAUUGGAGUUUAUACUUUAUCGCUAAGUAGUGGGUUUAGUUUAGAUUUGAAUAAGUGUUGUUAUUCGCCAGGAAUGGCAAGAAAUAUUAUUUCCUUUCAUGCUUUGUACAAACAAGGGUUUACCUUUUCAUUUAAUAAUGAAGUUGGUUCUAUAGAUGUUUUCUAUAAUAAUGUCUUUUAUUUUAAAGCAUUACCUUGUGAUGGUGUGUAUGAAGCUGUAUCUGUUGUAGAUAACUUGGGAAAUAAUGUUUUGUGUAUUGAUUCUACUAAUAAUAACUUGGAUAAAGCAUCUUUAUGGCAUUGUCGUCUUGGACAUAUAAGCAAGAAACGCAUAGGCCAACUCCAAAAGGAUGGAGUCUUGGAGUCGUUUGACCUAAAGUCAGAUGAUAGUUGCGAAUCAUGCUUACUUGGAAAAAUGACAAAGUCACCCUUCACAGGUUCGUGUGAGAGGGGUGAAGGUUUGUUGGACCUUAUACACACGGAUGUGUGUGGACCAUUCAAACAUGCCACAAGGGAUGCUAAUCGUUAUUAUUUGACUUUUACUGAUGAUUAUAGUAGAUAUGGAUAUGUCUACUUGAUCAAGCAUAAGUCAGAGACUUUCGAGAGGUUUAAGGAAUUUAAACAGGAAGUCGAGAAUCAAUUGGGCAGGAACAUUAAGAUGCUUCGAUCCGAUCGUGGUGGUGAGUAUCUUAGUUCAGAGUUCCUCGACUAUCUAAGGGAAUGUGGGAUAGUCUCACAAUUGACACCUCCCAGGACACCACAGUUGAAUGGUGUGGCUGAGAGGCGUAAUCGAACCUUGUUAGAUAUGGUUCGUUCCAUGAUGAGUCGAGCUACGCUACCAAUCUCAUUCUGGGGGUAUGCCUUAGAGACUGCCGCCCAUAUUCUUAAUCUAGUCCCUACAAAGAAAGUUGCCAAAACUCCUCACGAGAUGUGGACUGGUAAAGUACCUAAACUAGACCACAUCAAGAUUUGGGGUUGCGAGGCUUUCGUGAGACGCGAGACUCAUGAUAAGCUCGAACCUCGAAGCGAGAGGUGUAUUUUCAUCGGUUACCCACAGCGAUCCUUUGGUUACCUCUUCUACAGACCUAGUGACAAUGUGGUCUUUGUAGCAAGAAGAGGAGUCUUUCGAGAAAGAGAGUUUAUAAGCCAAGGAGACAGUGGGAGGCAAAUUGAUCUUGAAGAAAUUCAAGAAUCAAGCGGUGAAGGAACUUCAAACUCUAGCCCUCAACUUGAGGAGGAAACUCCUGUUGAGCCAAUUGACAAAUCUGUACCUCUGAGACGUUCCACGAGAGUUAGGAGUGCACCUGAGCAUUACUAUGGAUUCCAUAUUACUGCAGAAGGUGAGACACUUAUUAGUGAUGAGACACUAGUAAGUCAAGAUGACCCUAACAGCUACGAGGAAGCCAUGGCAGGCCCCGAGUCUGCUAAAUGGAAAGAGGCUAUGGAUAGCGAGAUACAAUCCAUGUAUGACAAUCAAGUUUGGAACUUGGUUGAAAAUGUACCAGGUCGUAAGACAGUAGGGUGCAAAUGGGUCUUCAAGAAGAAGACCGACAUGGAUGGUAAAGUACACACUUAUAAGGCUAGACUGGUUGCAAAGGGCUUCUCUCAAAUUCCUGGAGUGGAUUAUGAUGAGACCUUUUCUCCGGUAGCCAAGAUUAAGUCUAUUCGGGUUCUGUUAGCCAUAGCUGCAUUUCAUGACUAUGAAAUAUGGCAGAUGGAUGUCAAAACCGCUUUCCUUAAUGGAAAGUUGGCUGAAGAUGUUUACAUGAGUCAGCCAGAGGGUUUUGUCAGCAACGAGUACCCUAAUAGAGUGUGUAAGCUUGAGAAAUCCAUUUAUGGAUUGAAGCAAGCACCUCGCAGAUGGAAUCUUUGCUUUGAUGAAAAGGUCAAGGAAUUUGGCUUUUCUAGGAGUGAAGAUGAAUCUUGUGUGUAUGUCAAGGCUAGUGGGAGUAUAGUUAGCUUUUUGGUAUUGUAUGUGGAUGACAUACUACUCAUAGGAAACGACAUUCCAACCCUGCAGGAAGUAAAGUCCUGGCUUGGGAAGUGUUUCGCUAUGAAGGACCUUGGUGAAGCUGCCUAUAUUCUAGGGAUAAGAAUCUUGAGAGAUCGGAGUAAAAGACUAAUUGGACUUAGUCAGAGUACCUACUUGGAUAAGGUGCUGAAGAGAUUCAGCAUGCAGGAUUCCAAGAAAGGAGAGUUACCCAUCCAGAGUAACACCAGAUUGAGUAAGACACAAAGCCCUAGCACUGAGGCUGAGAUAGCAGAAAUGAGUCGAACACCUUACGCUUCGGCUGUAGGAUCGAUCAUGUAUGCUAUGACGUGUACUCGACCCGAUGUAGCUUUUGCCUUGAGCAUGGUUAGCAGGUAUCAGGCGAACCCUGGCAAGGCACACUGGACUGCGGUAAAGAAUAUCCUCAAGUACCUACGGAGGACUAAGGACUGGGUCCUUACCCUCGGUGGGAGUGAUGACUUGAGAGUUGUAGGGUAUAGUGAUGCUAGCUUCCAGACUGAUAGGGAUAAUUUCCGCUCUCAGUCGGGCUGGGUCUUUACCCUAAACGGAGGAGCAAUUUCUUGGAAGAGUUCCAAGCAAGAGACAGUGGCAGAUUCUACUUGUGAAUCAGAGUAUAUUGCAGCUAGCGAAGCAGCAAAGGAGGCGAUAUGGCUGAAGAACUUCAUUGGAGACCUUGGAGUUGUACCAGCUAUUAAAGAGCCAAUGGAAAUUUUCUGUGAUAGUGAAAGUGCUGUUGCCUUAGCCAAGGAACCAAGGGAUCAUGGGAGAUCCAGACACAUCGACAGAAAAUACCAUUUCAUUAGACAUCGGAUCGAAGAAGGACUCCUCGUGGCAAAGAGGGUAUCAUCGGAUGAGAACCCAGCAGAUCCCCUCACGAAGGGACUGAGUAGGGUUAAGCAUCUCCAGCAUGCUCGGAGCAUAGGGCUGAAGGAUGAUAUAAGUUUUAGUAGUUAGAUAACCCAGAAAUUUGUAAAGUGUAAUUGACAUUUGAUGAUGAAUAAAAGGUGUUUUAUUUAUGAGUAAAGUGUUGCUAUCUCUUGUCAAUCGUUUACUAUAUUUCUUUUGCAUGUUUUGACUUCCAGAAUAAUUUUGUUUGGUGUAACAUAUUAUUCAAACCUCCACAGUCGGUCAUAUGUCGGAAGUAGGUAUGAAUCAAGACUGUCAUGAUGGGUUGUAGAGGUCUAAGGUGUUGGACAAGGCUACAACAAUCAUGAGUGCUCAUAAGUUCUGAGCAUUGGACUCAACCCACGCUCACUGGAAUCACUUCAUGGAAUUCUAUCUCGAGUGAUCGUGAGACGGUAAUAUCAUAUAAGUCUUCAAACCUAGAGAUAUGAUUUGUUACUUACAAGUUGGUUAUGCAUUGACUGUACGAAACCGCAUUGGUAACUCGAUGUUAUAAAACGUACUUUUGUGUGUAAUUCAAUGAGUGGUAGAACAAACAUAUGAGUCGAAGUUUAUCUGUUCCUUCUUGGAUUAGAAGCUGAUAUCUGGGCCCCUCGAUGAUUUUGUUUUGACCCAUGUACCGGGCCCGGUCAGAACUAAGUUGAUGUGUUCAAUUAAGUUCUAUGUCAAACAAAUCGGAAAUCGGGAAACAAAUGCUGGACAAUAAGCAAGACAAUGUUCCAUGUAUUUGUCCGGCUGAUAUCUAGAACGGAGGAUUAUAUGAUCACUUAUCUUAAAUGGCGUACCAUCAUCUUCUCAGUUCCGAGAGACCUUGAAAGAGCUACGAUUGCCGGUCGGUUCCUGAAGUACUAGAGAUAUAGUUAUUAGACUUAUCCAAGUGGGAGACUGUUGGAUAAGGUGUCUAAGUCCAUAACUAUUUCGGGCUUGUACUUGACCCGACCCGGCAUGGUCCAUUUGGGUUGCAUGGCACCAUGCAAUUGGAUAGACUAAAUGAGAGAAAUAACACUUGGAGAUUAUUAAUAUAUUAUAAGUUCUAAUAUAUUAAUAAUAUUAUUUGAUUAGUUGAUCAAAGAAUUAAUUUGGAAUUAAUUAAGUGAUCAAAGGAUAACUAAUUAAAUAUAUGGGUUGAUUAUGUAAAUCAUCCAUAUCUUGUAUAGUGGGCUAAGAGGCUCCAUGGAUUAUCAAGUUGGGUUCUACCCAUAGGAUGCUCCAUGGAUGCUCCAUGGGAGUUACAAACCCAUGGGUCAUGGAAAUGAAGAGUCAUGACACAUUAGGGUUUACAUAGUGUAACCCUAGAUGUGUCAACACUAUAUAAGAAUCAUAUCCUCCACCAAAAUCGGCUAGACUAAGAAACUAGAGGGCUUGGCCGAUUUUAAGAAGUGUGUAUUCUCUUAUAAGUUUUUCCAAGAGCAUUUGGUGUUGUGUGAAGCAUUUGAGGCAUCACACUUGGGGUGCUAGGCUCACAAGGUUUCAAGGAAUACAAGCAACAACAAGGUAAGUUAUUCUAUCUUUCAUUCUAGUUAAAAUUGUUCCCCAUGUAUGCUAGAUAGGAAUAUAACCUUGGAAUUCAACUUUGCA